RNAcentral lists this ribosomal RNA (499 nucleotides) under uncultured Eubacteriales bacterium. Its description in RNAcentral is "bacterial SSU rRNA". It matches the Rfam family "Bacterial small subunit ribosomal RNA", at positions 10 to 507 of the family's 1533-position model. Lineage: Bacteria; Bacillati; Bacillota; Clostridia; Eubacteriales. The record is from RNAcentral.
AGUUUGAGUCCUGGCUCAGGAUGAACGCUGGCGCGUGCUUAACACAUGCAAGUCGAACGAAGCAUAAGAGACAGAAUACUACGGUAGGAAGAUUUUUAUGACUGAGUGGCGGACGGGUGAGUAACGCGUGGGUAACCUGCCUCAUACAGGGGGAUAACAGUUAGAAAUGGCUGCUAAUACCGCAUAAGCGCACAGUACUGCAUGGUACAGUGUGAAAAACUCUGGUGGUAUGAGAUGGACCCGCGUCUGAUUAGCUAGUUGGUGAGGUAAGGGCUCACCAAGGCAACGAUCAGUAGCCGACCUGAGAGGGUGAACGGCCACAUUGGGACUGAGACACGGCCCAAACUCCUACGGGAGGCAGCAGUGGGGAAUAUUGCACAAUGGGGGGAACCCUGAUGCAGCGACGCCGCGUGAAGGAAGAAGUAUUUCGGUAUGUAAACUUCUAUUAGCAGGGAAGAAAAUGACGGUACCUGACUAAGAAGCCCCGGCUAACUACGUG